This 215-nucleotide ribosomal RNA is filed under the name uncultured bacterium. RNAcentral describes it as "partial 16S ribosomal RNA". It matches the Rfam family "Bacterial small subunit ribosomal RNA", at positions 1286 to 1500 of the family's 1533-position model. The record is from RNAcentral.
UCUCAGUUCGGAUCGAAGUCUGCAACCCGACUUCGUGAAGCUGGAUUCGCUAGUAAUCGCGGAUCAGAAUGCCGCGGUGAAUACGUUCCCGGGUCUUGUACACACCGCCCGUCACACCAUGGGAGCCGGGAAUGCCCGAAGUCAGUGGCCCAACCGAAAGGGGGGAGCUGCCGAAGGCAGGCCUGGUGACUGGGGUGAAGUCGUAACAAGGUAAC